UGCUUGAUGAACCCAUCGAGGAACCUACAAAAGUUUCAACACGAGAAAAAUGAGUAUAAUUCUUCUAACUAUGUCAAUCAAGAACAAGUAAAGAACAUGAUGCAAAUAUACUCAAGUAUAGUUUUCAAGGUUCUUGUUGGUACACAUUAAGAAACAUUAUUACCCAGACACAAAGGCUACAGUACAUAAUGAUAAAACCAUAGCGAUAUACCCUAAAACCAAUUCAAGGCUUUGCAGUCAAUACAAAACCUACUAGUAGCCCACAUCUUGUAUGUAGUCAAUACACAGAACCAGGCAUUUAACACAGCAUCUUUAGAAGACUACAUCAGCAAAGUGAUAAUUGAAAUACGGAAAUCAACAUAAACAGCCAAGAAGAAACAUAAAACAACAUCUACAACACAUUAAAUUAUUGCUGGAUCCCAAGCACCGUUCAGCAAGUAAUACAGUAACAUAGAAAUCAACUUUUCGCUCCUGCACAACUGGGAGCACCAUCAGCAUCAAAGUGCUAGCAUUCUCUAAUUUAAACUUGAUACAUGGUCUACGGAACCUAGUGCCACUCCCCAGACCAACUAGCAUGUUACUGCUCGGCUCCAGCCUCCAAUAAUAACAUUCAGCUAAAAGUCAAGAGCAAGCAGGAUUUCAGUUUCUUACAAGUAGACUAGACCGCACUGCUGAUGGACCAACAGCACCCUUCAGCAACAUAUUUGAUAGCAACCUGGCCAUUGAGAUCUGCAUCAUUCAAGCAAACAACACAAGAGCAACAUAAGAACCCAAUGUGGGGGAAGGGGAGAUAUCAAGGAUAGUAGAUAAAAAAGACAUCCCUUUUGGAUAUCAUGGUCACAAACUGUCUCAAUGCAAAGCUAAAUCCCAUUUUGGACAUUGAAAGGAUUGAGUCGCCAUGUACAACGAUGUUCAACAAGCAAGCACAACAGCAACAUAAUCACAAACAAGCAAGCACAACGGCAACAUAAUCACAAACAAGCAAGCACAAUAGAAUGUGAAGCCUAUUGGAAUACAGUAGACUCACGAGCUGGAUGCCUUAGUACAAUAAUCAAAAAUAUUCUCCAACUACAGCUACUGCAUCUGAUGUGAUUAACAAUACAGCAAUCAUCUGGUGUAAUUAACAAACCUGGCCAUCAAC
This 1141-nucleotide long non-coding RNA is filed under the name Linum usitatissimum (flax). Its description in RNAcentral is "long non-coding RNA (LUSI_LNC002213)". The record is from RNAcentral. Lineage: Eukaryota; Viridiplantae; Streptophyta; Magnoliopsida; Malpighiales; Linaceae.